CAAGUCGAACGAGAAAGUGGAGCAAUCCAUGAGUACAGUGGCGUACGGGUGAGUAACACGUGGAUCAUCUACCUCUUUGUGGGGAAUAACCCUGGGAAACCGGGGAUAAUACCGCAUAAGCCUGAGAAGGGAAAGCAGCAAUGCGCUGAGAGAGGAGUCCGCGGCCGAUUAGCUAGUUGGCAGGGUAAAAGCCUACCAAGGCAGAGAUCGGUAGCCGGCCUGAGAGGGCACACGGCCACACUGGCACUGAAACACGGGCCAGACUCCUACGGGAGGCAGCAGUGGGGAAUCUUGCACAAUGGGGGAAACCCUGAUGCAGCGACGCCGCGUGAGCGAUGAAGCCCUUCGGGGUGUAAAGCUCUUUCGGCAGGGAAGAUUAUGACGGUACCUGCAGAAGCAGCUGCGGCUAACUACGUGCCAGCAGCCGCGGUAAUACGUAGGCAGCAAGCGUUGUUCGGAGUUACUGGGCGUAAAGGGUGUGUAGGCGGUUGUUUAAGUUUGGUGUGAAAUCUCCCGGCUCAACUGGGAGGGUGCGCCGAAUACUGAAUGACUUCGAGUGCGGGAGAGGAUAGUGGAAUUCCUGGUGUAGCGGUGAAAUGCGUAGAUAUCAGGAGGAACACCGGUGGUGUAGACGGCUAUCUGGACCGUAACUGACGCUGAGACACGAAAGCGUGGGUAGCAAACAGGAUUAGAUACCCUGGUAGUCCACGCCCUAAACGAUGCAUAUUUGGUGUGGGUCAUUCAGUUGAUCCGUGCCGGAGCUAACGCGUUAAAUAUGCCGCCUGGGGAGUACAGUCGCAAGGCUGAAACUCAAAGGAAUUGACGGGGGCCCGCACAAGCGGUGGAGCAUGUGGUUCAAUUCGACGCAACGCGAA
RNAcentral lists this ribosomal RNA (875 nucleotides) under uncultured Bacillota bacterium. Its description in RNAcentral is "bacterial SSU rRNA". It matches the Rfam family "Bacterial small subunit ribosomal RNA", at positions 58 to 965 of the family's 1533-position model. Lineage: Bacteria; Bacillati; Bacillota. The record is from RNAcentral.